UUGCCAGAUCUGAAUCUUUCUUUCUCUUCGAAUAUGUUUUCUAAUCUCACUUUCAGGUGUAAUUAUGAAAUGUAUGAAGCUUAAUUGAAAGCUGAGAGAUAACUUUGUAUAUUUUUGACAGUUUUGGC
Non-coding RNA from Caenorhabditis elegans, 128 nucleotides. The record is from Ensembl. NCBI's taxonomy places the organism in Eukaryota, Metazoa, Nematoda, Chromadorea, Rhabditida, Rhabditidae.